This 3128-nucleotide small RNA is filed under the name Pan troglodytes (chimpanzee). RNAcentral's name for it is "retained intron". The record is from RNAcentral. Lineage: Eukaryota; Metazoa; Chordata; Mammalia; Primates; Hominidae.
AGAUUUUACUUUUAGUAAACUUAAGAGGAUUUCAAUUUAGCUUUGGUCACUGGGUUUUUCUCCUUUUGUAGCCUUUUCCUUUAGUCUCCUCUUCCCGGUGGUUGGUAAAAAGAGGUGAAUUGACAGCCUAUGUUGAAGACACUGUGCUUUUCUCAAGAAGGACAUCCAAACAGCAAGUCUACUUCUUUCUCUUUAACGAUGUGCUCAUUAUCACCAAGAAGAAGAGUGAAGAAAGUUACAACGUCAAUGAUUAUUCCUUAAGAGAUCAGCUAUUGGUGGAAUCUUGUGACAAUGAAGAGCUUAAUUCUUCUCCAGGGAAGAACAGCUCCACAAUGCUCUAUUCAAGACAGAGCUCUGCCAGUCACCUCUUUACUCUGACAGUCCUUAGUAACCAUGCGAAUGAGAAAGUGGAGAUGCUACUAGGAGCUGAGACGCAGAGCGAGCGAGCCCGCUGGAUAACUGCCCUGGGACACAGCAGCGGGAAGCCGCCUGCAGACCGAACCUCACUGACCCAGGUGGAAAUCGUUAGGUCAUUUACUGCUAAGCAGCCAGAUGAACUCUCCCUGCAGGUGGCUGACGUCGUCCUCAUCUAUCAACGUGUCAGCGAUGGCUGGUAUGAGGGGGAACGACUACGAGAUGGAGAAAGAGGCUGGUUUCCUAUGGAAUGUGCCAAGGAGAUAACAUGUCAAGCUACAAUUGAUAAGAAUGUGGAGAGAAUGGGACGCUUGCUAGGACUGGAGACCAACGUGUAGUCUCUCGGAUGGUCUUUUGUUACUGCAAGAUUUGCACGACACUUACCGGGCUGGUUGGUUCUGGGCUAGUUUUGUUAAUUUUGUCACAGCCUAUUUAAUUAAAAGAACGAAAACACUUGCCUUUAAGCUUGCCAGGUUGUUCUGCUCUCUCAUGAGAAGAGCUUGGAUACAGUGAGUUUGCACAGCUCAGUUUUUACCUAACCACACACUUGCAGACCUCCUGAGGUACACAGAAUAGCUGAGCAGUUCACUUCAGGGAUCAGGUCAUCUCUGCUCCUCCUAGUUUCACCAUGUUCUGGCAAUAAAAAACACUAUAUUAUAUCCUGGUUUUCUCUAUCCUUGCAUUACUAAGGUGACUGUCUCUCUUUAUACAUCCUUGUAUGGUUCUCCCAGUAUUAGCAAGAUUUUAUAUCUGUAAAGAAUGUCCAGUUUUGUAAAUAUUUCCCUGCCUUUUUUUUUCUUUUUUUUUACAUCUGAUUCUAAUGCUUCGUUAACUUCAAAAGGAACUGGUAGAGUUCAGAAGGUGAGCUGUUGUUUUUCUAAACCUCUUCCCAGGAAAGGGACAUUGACACUUGAAUUUUUGUCACCUUUUUCCUCAUUAGAAGGAAAGUAGAAAGCCUUACUUUAGGAUUUUUUUAAAAAAUCCAUCUCACCCCAUAUUGGUCUUAAAUAAGUAUAGACUAAUUAACCUAAGCUACCUUUAACAACGUAGAAUUUAGAUGGGUUCAUAUAUGUGAGAAAAACCUGAAUAUAGGACAGGGGUCCUACUUUUUUCCCCCACCUCUGUCGCCCAGGCUGGAGUAUAGUGGUGUGAUCUUGGCCCACUGCAACCUCUGCUUCCUGGGUUCAAGUGAUUCUCCUGCCUCAGCCUCCCAAGUAGCUGGGAUUGUAAGAGUAUGCCACCACGCCCAGCUACUUUUUGUAUUUUUAGUAGAGACAGGGUUUCACCAUGUUGGCCAGGAUGGUCUCUUAACUCCUGCCCUCAAGUGAUCCACCAGGGAGGAGAUCCUCGGCCUCCCCAAGUGCUGGGAUUAUAGGCAUGAGCCACCGUGCCCAGCCUACUUUCUAAUUAAUUAAAAAAAAAAAAAAAAAAACUUCCCAAAUGAGCUGAUAAAAAACUGACGUGAGGCUGCUUUGCCUUCAAUAAUACCUAGUUUUCAGCUGUUCCAACUCGUUUCCAAAUAGAAAUUAGCUGGAACACACUCCAGUAAUCUCAAGGAAGGGAAAAUUAGGCCUUAAAAGAUAUCAAGAAGUCAGCAUGGUACCCAAUUGAAACCUUUUGACCUUAGUGGGAAUUCAUUCUAUUUGCACUAAAAGCCUUAACUUGCUGUAUUCAGAGUCCCUCUUAACUGUGAGUUUCUGUAGAACUUUACUUUUUCCACUAGUGCACAGAGAGAGAAAGGUUAUCUUAAUAGUCGGUUUCAUGGAGAUGAAGGAUGGGAGAUUAAGAGGGGGGAAAUGAUUUUUACUGGCAGCUAUAUUCCCUCUCUGUUCUAUUUGCUUUAACAAAGGGAUAAAACCUGGCAAAGUGUACAUUAUUGGAGGACUCAAAUCUGUAUGUGACAUGUCCCAACUACUGUCCGCUAACUAGUUAUCCAAAUUGUAAAGCUACAGAAGCCCAGUUGAGGGGUAAGUGUGCCUGGCUCACACAGCCUGCACCCUGUCACCUUGGCAGUGAGCCAGUGUGGGGCACUGGGGACUUCUAACCCUUGGAUUGCUCUUUUUGACCUGUGCAUACCUUCUAAUUGUAAAAUAUAUUUCAGACCGUGAGUACCUUGAGAUCUGAGCAACUGUGGUAAUGAAGUAAUAGCAAUGGUCCACAGUGAAAGAUGUGUUGGGGUUUGCAAAACAAGCAUUCCGUCUCUGCAAAACAAAACAAGCAUUCCGUCACCUCUUUAAUAAUGUCACAGACUUUUUAAAGGAGAGGCUAACAAGUUGUAAUAUAAUCUGUCAUGUUUUAUUUAGGAAGGAAGGUAAAUUUGUGCUUGCACGGGGAUCAUUUUGUAUUAUUUUUGCUAAUACCCAGUUGAAGCUAAAAAGCAACUAUUUGAAUCCUGUGAAUUAAUUUAUAAGAAUGUUAAACAGCUUUGGAAAUACAUGCAUCUUAUGAAUCAUAGCCUAAUUUAGCAAGAUCAAUGCUGUGUAUUAAAGUGUUGUUAUAUGGCAAGUAUUUAACACAUUCACAGUGUUUGAUUUCAACUGUGAAUUGUCUUACAGUUUUUUCAAACCUAGUUGUUUCUAUGAACACCUGCUCUGAAUUGUACAUUGACUUCAUUACUAAAGAACAAAAAUGUUCAUUUUUGUCCCAGUAAAUUGAGACUGCUUGUACACUUUCAGAAAAAUAUGUGAAUUUAUAAAGAUUUUGUAGAUACUUGU